RNAcentral lists this ribosomal RNA (253 nucleotides) under uncultured bacterium. RNAcentral describes it as "partial 16S ribosomal RNA". It matches the Rfam family "Bacterial small subunit ribosomal RNA", at positions 524 to 776 of the family's 1533-position model. The record is from RNAcentral.
GACAGAGGUGGCGAGCAUUGUUCGGAAUUACUGGGCUUAAAGGGCGAGUAGGCGGUGGAGCCAGUCUGAGGUGGAAUCCUACGGCUUAACCGUAGAACUGACUUGGAAACUGUUUUUCUUGAGUCAGUGAGGGGAGGGCGGAAUUCCUGGUGUAGCGGUGAAAUGCGUAGAUAUCAGGAGGAAGGCAUGUGGCGAAAGUGGCCCUCUGGAACUGUACUGACGCUGAGGCGCGAAAGCGUGGGGAGCAAACAGG